AAACACCCUGACAAUCACCAAGGAAGAUUGACUACACCGAGCUGUUUACAAGAUGCUUUUGAUGGUGACAUAUAGAGCAACAUGUGUUACACAAUGAAACAGAUCCAGAGAGAUGGACUGACCUUGCCCAUGACUCACAGAAAGUGACCAACCUAGCAAGCCUAGGACCCCAGACUGCCAUGAAAACAUCCACAUGUACAUGGUGUGGCGGCUCAUUUACAAAAAGGAGCUGCUAUUAUUGCCAUCUUGGCUAUCUGUGAUGCUUGCAACUCAUCGGGGCUCCUCGGGGCACAGGACUCCAGGACCGACUCUCCAGCACCGCCUCUCCAUCGCCAGUUCUUGCUACUAACCGCUGCCUUCUUGGAGGGUUUUCAUUUCCCAGUGUACACUUUCAGCGCAUAGAAUGUGCAUAUUAUAUUCAAAGGUUUCCUGUCACUUAAGUAGUAACGUCUUAGUUUUCUCUUAAGCUCUCACACCCAGCACACUGCCUGACAGAGAGCAUUUGUGAAAGGGUGCAUGAACUACACAGAAGUGAACUGAUGUGAGCUUUUUAUAUGUACACCUAAAAGUAAACGUUUUCAGAAUAUCAUGAUGGAGGGAACCAGAUUGCUGUUAUCAAACACACCUAGAUUCUGCAUCAUACAACCAGGUAUAACCUCUUAGUUCCCCUUCAGGUCAUCCCAGAAAGAUUAAACUGCAGCACUGAAAAAGUUCUGCAUAAUCAUUACUGAUAAUAUAUUGCAUAAAGCUAGAAAUUCUCCAAAUAAAAAAAGUCUAAGAAUAUAAUCUGGAAAAAUAGGGGGCCCUUUCCCAACCAAGCUUCUGCUCCUUGAGAACAUUCUACCACAGUAUAUAAUAUGAAAGUAUUUUUGUCUGGUUUUGAUAUCAGGAUCAUAUCAGAUUCAUCAAAUGAACAAAGAUAUCACUCACCAGGAUAACCAACACAUAGAGAAGAUAUGAAACACUUCCAGCAUCCAGGUCUACGCUUCCAACUGCAGCAUGAAGAAUGGACUGGAAGUAGGCAGAAGAUGAAGGAGAGGAUCUGUUAGGAAGCUACUGCGGUAUCCAGACGAGAAACAAUUGCAGCCUAGACUAAAAUUCUGGCUUUGAAGGUAUACAGAAGUGGAUGAGAUAUUUGAAGAUACUUAUUGGAGGUGGAAUCAACAGCAUUCAUUGAUGGAUUAAACAUGGAGAAUGAGAGAAAAGAGGAAUGAGGAAUGAUUCACAGGUUUCUUGCUUGAGUAAUUGGGUGUAGAGUGGUUCCCUUUACUAAAAUGAUGGAAGUCUGGAAGAGGAAAACGUUUCAGGAGAGAGAACCAGGAGUCUAGGGUAUACAUACGACAUUUCAGACAAAGGUUUCCUGGAUGAAAAAUCUAGGUGGUCAUUUGUCCUGCAAAAAUAAGAAGAUAUUUUGGGAGGGCAACCAGGCACAUUCAAGCUCCAUGGCAUGAUACCCAUGCAGUGAGGCCUUUGCCUAAUAUGGGCCUGGCACUGUCAGAGGUACCAAGAAUAUGAGACUGAGUAAGUUCUUGUCCCAGGAAAUUAAUCAGAGGAAAAGACAAUGUAAUAGAUAAUCACAAAGCAGUGUAACAAUUUUCACGUGAUAUUUACUCCAUAUUAUCUGCACAGGGCAUUGAGGGGAUAGGGAGAUGCUUGGGAUGGAGAGUCAGGCUCAUAGACGGCCUUCUAGAAUAGUUGAUCUCCAAAGAAAGGAUAAGCUGGACAGCCUUCUGGAAGGUGGAAGACAGUCAAGAGGAGAGAGGUUAUUUGGGGAGAAGAAACAGGACAGCCUCAGUAAGACACAGAGACAAUAUGUUAUGUGUGGUUAAUUAAAGUGCUUCCAAUUAUAGAACAAGGAGAGGGCAGGGAAAAGAAGGGAAAGCCGAAACCUGAAGGGUCCUGUAUUUCACAAUAAAAGGAUUAUUAUAUCAUCCUAUGGGGAUGGAGGAGCAGAACACUUACAAUGUUUCAAAUAGGAAGGGACAUGCUAGACAGAUUUGUGUUUUAGAUGGAUGGUUCUGGCAGUGGUGUGGAGAU
Molecule: long non-coding RNA, 2037 nt
Organism: Homo sapiens (human)
Lineage: Eukaryota; Metazoa; Chordata; Mammalia; Primates; Hominidae
Source: Ensembl